CUAUGCUAGUGCACUGUUCCUUACAUCAGCCAAAGCAAACACAUUGGACAAAGUUGAAUCUGAGAUUAAAACUAUUGUAGAGGCAUCCAAGAAGAGCCCGCUGUUUUCUCAAUUCAUAAAGGACUUGUCAGUUCCAAAAGAAACCAGAGUGAAGGCUAUAACUGAAAUAUUCGCUGAAGCUGGGUUUUCAGAUAUCACAAAGAAUUUCUUGGGCUGCUUAUGAAAAGGCCAAGAGGAAGGAGCAAUCGUCAAGCCACUCAUCAGGAGGUGCAUCUCCCAGAGGCUUUCCUGGAGGGAUGCCUGGGGGUUUCCCUGGAGCUGGAGGUGCCAGGCCCUAGGGGUUUCCCUGGGGCUGGUCCCGGUAAUGUUGAUAUGAGUAAGAUCCUGAAUGACCCUGACCUGAUGGCGGGAUUCAGUUUCCCAUAGGUCAUGGCAGCUCUACAAGAUGGUAUGUGUCUGGCUUCCCACACAAAUCUUGUG
Molecule: long non-coding RNA, 480 nt
Organism: Panicum virgatum (switchgrass)
Lineage: Eukaryota; Viridiplantae; Streptophyta; Magnoliopsida; Poales; Poaceae
Exons: 3
Source: RefSeq, a predicted model, not a curated record